UGGGGAAUUUUGGACAAUGGACGCAAGUCUGAUCCAGCAAUGCCACGUGCAGGAUGAAGGCCUUCGGGUUGUAAACUGCUUUUGUACGGAGCGAAAAGGUCUGCCCUAAUACGGUGGGCUCAUGACGGUACCGUAAGAAUAAGCACCGGCUAACUACGUGCCAGCAGCCGCGGUAAUACGUAGGGUGCGAGCGUUAAUCGGAAUUACUGGGCGUAAAGCGUGCGCAGGCGGUUAUGCAAGACAGAGGUGAAAUCCCCGGGCUCAACCUGGGAACUGCCUUUGUGACUGCAUAGCUAGAGUACGGUAGAGGGGGAUGGAAUUCCGCGUGUAGCAGUGAAAUGCGUAGAUAUGCGGAGGAACACCGAUGGCGAAGGCAAUCCCCUGGACCUGUACUGACGCUCAUGCACGAAAGCGUGGGGAGCAAACA
Molecule: ribosomal RNA, 427 nt
Filed under: uncultured bacterium
Lineage: Bacteria
Description: bacterial SSU rRNA
Rfam family: Bacterial small subunit ribosomal RNA
Source: RNAcentral